UAGAGGGGACCCUUGUGCCUCGCAGCCCUCAUCUCCUAAUGGCUGUGGGGUCACUGUGUCGAGUUGUAAUGCCUAAUGAGCUCCUCUAAAAACAUCCUGAAACUUGUGUAAAAAAAACAGCAGACUCCCAGUGGAACUCGCCUUCAGAUGCAGCCCAGAAUAAGAGUUCUAGAAUGUGUGUGCCAUCCUUUUGUCUCAAUCUGCAUGAUUGCAAGUCUCUUCAACAUGAUUGGGUGCGUGGAGUGUCUCGGUCAUGUGUCUUCCCCUCUGAGCAUGCCUUUUGAUUCGCACCUGUGUCACAAUUGUGCCAGCCUGUGAGAUGUGUCUGCCUGUCACCAGUAUCGGCACAUUUAGUUUUCCCUUUACGUGAGUUUUGGUAAAAUAGUGACAAAAUGUAAUGCAGUGCUCAGUCACAGAAAAAUGUCAGGCCUACAGAAAUGGAGCAUUUGGCUGGCGGGUAGCGUGAUGACC
This 471-nucleotide long non-coding RNA is filed under the name Homo sapiens (human). RNAcentral describes it as "HSALNT0023288". The record is from RNAcentral. Lineage: Eukaryota; Metazoa; Chordata; Mammalia; Primates; Hominidae.